AUACAUUACAGCCCAACUUCAAAACUAGGUUUGUGUAUCUUUCAGUACACUUUCUACAUUCUCUAAUUACUCUGACUGUUGAUUCCACUGAAGAGGGACCCAAACUUCUUUGCCACAUGUUAUAGCCCUGGCCAAGGUGACAGCAUGUGGCUAUCAGCACCACAACAUCCUUUUGCACCUGAGUCCUAGAGCUGCCUUUGGCUAGCCAGUCAUUGAGGUAGGGAUAGAUCUGGACACCCCAAUGUUUGAGAUCGAGGAUGGUGUAGCAGUCUCCCAGAUCCAGAGAAGGGAUGAUGGAGGCCAGGGAGACCAUACGGAACUUCAGCUUUUCUAGGAAGCAGCUCAAGUCUUGCAGGUCCAGGAUAGGUCGCAGACUACCCUUGACCUUAGGGCUUGCCCGUCGAAGGGGAGGUCUUGCAUCGACUGCUGAGCCUCUGUGAACAAACCGGAGAGGAGCACCCAGGAUGCCCAGCGCAUAGCGAUGUCCGAGGCCAUGGUUUGGGCAGCAGUGUCUGCUGCAUCCAACACUGCCUGGAGGGUCGCCCUGGCCACAGUCGUGCCCUCCUCUAUGAUAGCCUGGAACUCGUUCCUAGAAGCCUCAGGAAAGGAGACCUCAAACUUGGCCAUGGCUUUUCACAUGUUCAAGUCAUAGCGUCCCAGGAGCACCUGAUGGUUGGCCACCCUCAACUGGAGACUAGAGGACGAAUAAACU
Long non-coding RNA from Mauremys reevesii (Reeves's turtle), 712 nucleotides. RefSeq lists it as uncharacterized. NCBI's taxonomy places the organism in Eukaryota, Metazoa, Chordata, Testudines, Geoemydidae. The transcript has 4 exons. The record is from RefSeq and is a predicted model, not a curated record.